UGGGGAAUAUUGGACAAUGGGCGCAAGCCUGAUCCAGCAAUGCCGCGUGUGUGAAGAAGGCCUGCGGGUUGUAAAGCACUUUGAGCGGGGAAGAAGGCUUGGGGGCCAAUACCCUCCGGGAUUGACGUUACCCGCAGAACAAGCACCGGCUAACUCCGUGCCAGCAGCCGCGGUAAUACGGAGGGUGCGAGCGUUAAUCGGAAUUACUGGGCGUAAAGCGCGCGCAGGCGGCCUUCCAAGUCCGACGUGAAAGCCCCGGGCUCAACCUGGGAACUGCGCCGGAGACUGGGAGGCUGGAGUGCGGGAGAGGGCGGUGGAAUUUCCGGUGUAGCAGUGAAAUGCGUAGAGAUCGGAAGGAACACCAGUGGCGAAGGCGGCCGCCUGGACCGACACUGACGCU
Molecule: ribosomal RNA, 400 nt
Filed under: uncultured bacterium
Lineage: Bacteria
Description: bacterial SSU rRNA
Rfam family: Bacterial small subunit ribosomal RNA
Source: RNAcentral